RNAcentral lists this ribosomal RNA (253 nucleotides) under uncultured bacterium. RNAcentral describes it as "partial 16S ribosomal RNA". It matches the Rfam family "Bacterial small subunit ribosomal RNA", at positions 524 to 776 of the family's 1533-position model. The record is from RNAcentral.
UACGUAGGGUGCGAGCGUUAAUCGGAAUUACUGGGCGUAUAGCGCACGUAGGCGGCUUUGUAAGUUAGAGGUGAAAGCCCGGGGCUCAACUCCGGAACUGCCUUUAAGACUGCAUCGCUUGAAUCCAGGAGAGGUGAGUGGAAUUCCGAGUGUAGAGGUGAAAUUCGUAGAUAUUCGGAAGAACACCAGUGGCGAAGGCGGCUCACUGGACUGGUAUUGACGCUGAGGUGCGAAAGCGUGGGGAGCAAACAGG